Molecule: ribosomal RNA, 3031 nt
Filed under: Klebsiella aerogenes
Lineage: Bacteria; Pseudomonadati; Pseudomonadota; Gammaproteobacteria; Enterobacterales; Enterobacteriaceae
Description: 23S ribosomal RNA
Rfam family: Bacterial large subunit ribosomal RNA
Source: RNAcentral
GGGUUGUGAGGUUAAGCGACUAAGCGUACACGGUGGAUGCCCUGGCAGUCAGAGGCGAUGAAGGACGUGCUAAUCUGCGAAAAGCGUCGGUAAGGUGAUAUGAACCGUUACAGCCGGCGAUGUCCGAAUGGGGAAACCCAGUGCAAUUCGUUGCACUAUCGUUAACUGAAUACAUAGGUUAACGAGGCGAACCGGGGGAACUGAAACAUCUAAGUACCCCGAGGAAAAGAAAUCAACCGAGAUUCCCCCAGUAGCGGCGAGCGAACGGGGAGCAGCCCAGAGUCUGAAUCAGCUUGUGUGUUAGUGGAACGGUCUGGAAAGUCCGACGGUACAGGGUGAUAGUCCCGUACACCAAAAUGCACAGGCUGUGAACUCGAAGAGUAGGGCGGGACACGUGGUAUCCUGUCUGAAUAUGGGGGGACCAUCCUCCAAGGCUAAAUACUCCUGACUGACCGAUAGUGAACCAGUACCGUGAGGGAAAGGCGAAAAGAACCCCGGCGAGGGGAGUGAAAAAGAACCUGAAACCGUGUACGUACAAGCAGUGGGAGCACCUUCGGGUGUGACUGCGUACCUUUUGUAUAAUGGGUCAGCGACUUAUAUUCUGUAGCAAGGUUAACCGUAUAGGGGAGCCGCAGGGAAACCGAGUCUUAACUGGGCGUUAAGUUGCAGGGUAUAGACCCGAAACCCGGUGAUCUAGCCAUGGGCAGGUUGAAGGUUGGGUAACACUAACUGGAGGACCGAACCGACUAAUGUUGAAAAAUUAGCGGAUGACUUGUGGCUGGGGGUGAAAGGCCAAUCAAACCGGGAGAUAGCUGGUUCUCCCCGAAAGCUAUUUAGGUAGCGCCUCGUGAAUUCAUCUUCGGGGGUAGAGCACUGUUUCGGCUAGGGGGUCAUCCCGACUUACCAACCCGAUGCAAACUACGAAUACCGAAGAAUGUUAUCACGGGAGACACACGGCGGGUGCUAACGUCCGUCGUGAAGAGGGAAACAACCCAGACCGCCAGCUAAGGUCCCAAAGUCACAGUUAAGUGGGAAACGAUGUGGGAAGGCACAGACAGCCAGGAUGUUGGCUUAGAAGCAGCCAUCAUUUAAAGAAAGCGUAAUAGCUCACUGGUCGAGUCGGCCUGCGCGGAAGAUGUAACGGGGCUAAACUGUGCACCGAAGCUGCGGCAGCGACACUAUGUGUUGUUGGGUAGGGGAGCGUUCUGUAAGCCUGCGAAGGUGGCCUGUGAGGGUUGCUGGAGGUAUCAGAAGUGCGAAUGCUGACAUAAGUAACGAUAAUGCGGGUGAAAAGCCCGCACGCCGGAAGACCAAGGGUUCCUGUCCAACGUUAAUCGGGGCAGGGUGAGUCGACCCCUAAGGCGAGGCCGAAAGGCGUAGUCGAUGGGAAACAGGUUAAUAUUCCUGUACUUGGUGUUACUGCGAAGGGGGGACGGAGAAGGCUAUGUUAGCCGGGCGACGGUUGUCCCGGUUUAAGCAUGUAGGCGGAGGUUCCAGGUAAAUCCGGUACCUUUNNNNNNNNNNNNNNNNNNNNNNNNNNNNNNNNNNNNNNNNNNNNNNNNNNNNNNNNNNNNNNNNNNNNNNNNNNNNNNNNNNNNNNNNNNNNNNNCUUAUUAACGCUGAGGUGUGAUGACGAGGCACUACGGUGCUGAAGUAACAAAUGCCCUGCUUCCAGGAAAAGCCUCUAAGCAUCAGGUAACAUUAAAUCGUACCCCAAACCGACACAGGUGGUCAGGUAGAGAAUACCAAGGCGCUUGAGAGAACUCGGGUGAAGGAACUAGGCAAAAUGGUGCCGUAACUUCGGGAGAAGGCACGCUGAUAUGUAGGUGAAGCCCCUGCGGGUGGAGCUGAAAUCAGUCGAAGAUACCAGCUGGCUGCAACUGUUUAUUAAAAACACAGCACUGUGCAAACACGAAAGUGGACGUAUACGGUGUGACGCCUGCCCGGUGCCGGAAGGUUAAUUGAUGGGGUUAUCCGUAAGGAGAAGCUCUUGAUCGAAGCCCCGGUAAACGGCGGCCGUAACUAUAACGGUCCUAAGGUAGCGAAAUUCCUUGUCGGGUAAGUUCCGACCUGCACGAAUGGCGUAAUGAUGGCCAGGCUGUCUCCACCCGAGACUCAGUGAAAUUGAACUCGCUGUGAAGAUGCAGUGUACCCGCGGCAAGACGGAAAGACCCCGUGAACCUUUACUAUAGCUUGACACUGAACAUUGAGCCUUGAUGUGUAGGAUAGGUGGGAGGCUUUGAAGCGUGGACGCCAGUCUGCGUGGAGCCAACCUUGAAAUACCACCCUUUAAUGUUUGAUGUUCUAACGUUGGCCCCUUAUCGGGGUUGCGGACAGUGUCUGGUGGGUAGUUUGACUGGGGCGGUCUCCUCCCAAAGAGUAACGGAGGAGCACGAAGGUUAGCUAAUCCUGGUCGGACAUCAGGAGGUUAGUGCAAUGGCAUAAGCUAGCUUGACUGCGAGCGUGACGGCGCGAGCAGGUGCGAAAGCAGGUCAUAGUGAUCCGGUGGUUCUGAAUGGAAGGGCCAUCGCUCAACGGAUAAAAGGUACUCCGGGGAUAACAGGCUGAUACCGCCCAAGAGUUCAUAUCGACGGCGGUGUUUGGCACCUCGAUGUCGGCUCAUCACAUCCUGGGGCUGAAGUAGGUCCCAAGGGUAUGGCUGUUCGCCAUUUAAAGUGGUACGCGAGCUGGGUUUAGAACGUCGUGAGACAGUUCGGUCCCUAUCUGCCGUGGGCGCUGGAGAAUUGAGGGGGGCUGCUCCUAGUACGAGAGGACCGGAGUGGACGCAUCACUGGUGUUCGGGUUGUCAUGCCAAUGGCAUUGCCCGGUAGCUAAAUGCGGAAGAGAUAAGUGCUGAAAGCAUCUAAGCACGAAACUUGCCCCGAGAUGAGUUCUCCCUGAGACUUUAAGUCUCCUGAAGGAACGUUAAAGACGAUGACGUUGAUAGGUCGGGUGUGUAAGCGUAGCGAUACGUUGAGCUAACCGAUACUAAUGAACCGUGAGGCUUAACCUUACAACGCCGAAGGUGUUU